RNAcentral lists this ribosomal RNA (443 nucleotides) under uncultured bacterium. RNAcentral's name for it is "partial 16S ribosomal RNA". It matches the Rfam family "Bacterial small subunit ribosomal RNA", at positions 338 to 795 of the family's 1533-position model. The record is from RNAcentral.
CCUACGGGAGGCAGCAGUGGGGAAUAUUGGGCAAUGGGCGCAAGCCUGACCCAGCAACGCCGCGUGAAGGAAGACGGCUCUCGGGUUGUAAACUUCUUUUCUUAGGGACGAAGAAAGUGACGGUACCUCAGGAAUAAGCCACGGCUAACUACGUGCCAGCAGCCGCGGUAAUACGUAGGUGGCAAGCGUUAUCCGGAUUUAUUGGGUGUAAGGGGCGUGUAGGCGGGAAGGCAAGUCAGAUGUGAAAACUCAGGGCUCAACCCUGAGCCUGCAUUUGAAACUGUUUUUCUUGAGUGCUGGAGAGGCAAUCGGAAUUCGGUGUGUAGCGGUGAAAUGCGUAGAUAUACGGAGGAACACCAGUGGCGAAGGCGGAUUGCUGGACAGUAACUGACGCUGAGGCGCGAAAGCGUAGGGAGCAAACAGGAUUAGAUACCCGGGUAGUC